RNAcentral lists this ribosomal RNA (490 nucleotides) under uncultured bacterium. Its description in RNAcentral is "partial 16S ribosomal RNA". It matches the Rfam family "Bacterial small subunit ribosomal RNA", at positions 30 to 507 of the family's 1533-position model. The record is from RNAcentral.
AUUGAACGCUGGCGGCAGGCCUAACACAUGCAAGUCGAACGGUAACAGGAUGAAGCCUGCUUCUUUGCUGUCGCGUGUCGGACGGGUGCGUAAUGUCUGGGAAACUGUAUGCUGGCGGGGGAUAACUCCUGGAAACGGUAGCUAAUACCGCAUACCGUCGCAAGAACAAAAAGGAGGACCUUUUGGCCUCUUGCUCUAGGAUGUGCCCAGAUGGGAUUAGCUCGUAGGUGGGGUAACGGCUCACCAAGGCGACGCUCCCUAGCUGGUCUGAGAGGAUGACCAGCCACACUGGAACUGAGACACGGUCCAGACUCCUACGGGAGGCAGCAGUGGGGAAUAUUGCACAAUGGGCGCAAGCCUGAUGCAGCCAUGCCGCGUGGAUGAAGAAGGCCUUCGGGUUGUAAAGUACUUUCGGCGGGGAGGAAGGGAGUAAGGUUAAUACCUUGGCGCAUUGACGGUACCCGCAGAAGAAGCACCGGCUAACUCCGUG